This 29-nucleotide non-coding RNA is filed under the name Homo sapiens (human). Lineage: Eukaryota; Metazoa; Chordata; Mammalia; Primates; Hominidae. The record is from RNAcentral.
UCAAGGAAACCCUAGUGGAUGUGGUGGAC